RNAcentral lists this long non-coding RNA (458 nucleotides) under Zonotrichia albicollis (white-throated sparrow). RNAcentral describes it as "lncRNA (ENSZALG00000015117.1)". The record is from RNAcentral. Lineage: Eukaryota; Metazoa; Chordata; Aves; Passeriformes; Passerellidae.
GUCCGUGUGUCUGUCCGUCGGGGGGCAGCAGGAGCCGCAUUGUGCUGCCGCUGAUGCUGAGUGACUGCUCCUUUGUGCGGCCGCGUGGGAACAGCUCCGCCGCAAACACCCCCGAAACCGCGCUUAACCAGGCGGGCACCCCUGGGAAAAACAGCCCCCAGAGCCCUGCCUUUGUCACCAACCCGCUGGGAAAGGUGGCUGUGGUGGCACUGCUGGCAUCCCUGCCCGCUGCCGGGAGAGGAGGCACCGGGAGAACAGGGACUGAAGCUUCUGCUCAUCUGCUUUGCAUGACAAAGUGUCAGAAAGCUGAGAAGAUUUUUCCUUGUGUCCAGACAAUACAGACUGAGGAUACCAUGCUGAUUCAUCAAGAUUCAGCUCCCUGCAUACUGGAUACAAAACUGGAAAGCAGAACUGACAGAAAAACGACACAAUUCCGAAUUUCAGUACUAUGCCACUGA